UACAGAGGUGGCAAGCGUUGUUCGGAAUUACUGGGCGUAAAGGGCGCGUAGGCGGUCUCAUAAGUCCCGUGUGAAAUCCCCCGGCUCAACUGGGGAACGGCACGGGAAACUGCGAGGCUCGAGUUCGGGAGAGGGAAGCGGAAUUCCGGGUGUAGCGGUGAAAUGCGUAGAUAUCCGGAGGAACACCGGUGGCGAAGGCGGCUUCCUGGACCGACACUGACGCUGAGGCGCGAAAGCUAGGGGAGCAAACGGG
This 253-nucleotide ribosomal RNA is filed under the name uncultured Acidobacteriota bacterium. RNAcentral's name for it is "uncultured Acidobacteria bacterium partial 16S ribosomal RNA". It matches the Rfam family "Bacterial small subunit ribosomal RNA", at positions 524 to 776 of the family's 1533-position model. Lineage: Bacteria; Pseudomonadati; Acidobacteriota. The record is from RNAcentral.